AACGAACGCUGGCGGCAUGCCUAACACAUGCAAGUCGAACGAGACCUUCGGGUCUAGUGGCGCACGGGUGCGUAACGCGUGGGAACCUGCCCUUAGGUUCGGAAUAACUCCCCGACAGGGGUGCUAAUACCGGAUAAUGUCUUCGGACCAAAGAUUUAUCGCCUUUGGAUGGGCCCGCGUUGGAUUAGCUAGUUGGUAGGGUAAAAGCAUACCAAGGCGACGAUACAUAGCUGGUCUGAGAGGAUGAUCAGCCACACUGGGACUGAGACACGGCCCAGAAUCCUACGGGAGGCAGCAGUGGGGAAUAGUGGAAAGUGGGCGAAAGCCUGAUCCAGCAAUGCCGCGUGAGUGAUGAAGGCCUGAGGGUUGUAAAGCUCUUUUACCCGGGAUGAUAAUGACAGUACCGGGAGAAUAAGCUCCGGCUAACUCCGUG
This 433-nucleotide ribosomal RNA is filed under the name uncultured bacterium. Its description in RNAcentral is "partial 16S ribosomal RNA". It matches the Rfam family "Bacterial small subunit ribosomal RNA", at positions 29 to 507 of the family's 1533-position model. The record is from RNAcentral.